CACACUGGUGGAAACCACAUUCCAUUUGCGGACGUGUGGAUGCCUCUGAUUGGCCCAUCUCCAAGGUCGAUUCCCCCCUGCCCACUCCAUCACUCUGAGGAAAAUGCAACUUUGAAGUGAAGUGAGACUUAGGCCUACUCCCUGACCUUUGGCCCAUCAUGGCGUCAGUCCU
Molecule: long non-coding RNA, 172 nt
Organism: Ochotona curzoniae (black-lipped pika)
Lineage: Eukaryota; Metazoa; Chordata; Mammalia; Lagomorpha; Ochotonidae
Exons: 3
Source: RefSeq, a predicted model, not a curated record